AUACGUAGGGUGCGAGCGUUAAUCGGAAUUACUGGGCGUAAAGCGUGCGCAGGCGGUUAUGUAAGACAGAUGUGAAAUCCCCGGGCUCAACCUGGGAACUGCAUUUGUGACUGCAUGACUGGAGUGCGGCAGAGGGGGAUGGAAUUCCGCGUGUAGCAGUGAAAUGCGUAGAUAUGCGGAGGAACACCGAUGGCGAAGGCAAUCCCCUGGGCCUGCACUGACGCUCAUGCACGAAAGUGUGGGGAGCAAACAGGAUUAGAUACCCUAGUAGUCC
Molecule: ribosomal RNA, 274 nt
Filed under: uncultured bacterium
Lineage: Bacteria
Description: partial 16S ribosomal RNA
Rfam family: Bacterial small subunit ribosomal RNA
Source: RNAcentral